Molecule: long non-coding RNA, 469 nt
Organism: Homo sapiens (human)
Lineage: Eukaryota; Metazoa; Chordata; Mammalia; Primates; Hominidae
Source: Ensembl
CAGCCCUGUAGGAGACACCUCCAGAGAAAGUAACAGCUCUCAAUUGAUUAGCUGAGGAGACCGAUUUUGUAAAUCACUACUUUUCUAACAACACUGGCACAGAUGGCCAAGCAUUCUCCCUUUUCUCAGAGCUGGUUUUCCAUCCCGGAAAGAGCCAGAAUUAGCUUCUGUUACUUACAACUGUGAGUCCUGACUGAAAACAUAUUUCUUCCUUUGAAGAACUGUUACCUGUAACAGGCUAAGAAGAAUAUUAAGAAUAAACAGAUGCUUUUACAGCUCGCCUUGGCGGGAAGAUCUGGCACAAAUGAAGUAUCUAUAAGGAGCAGCAGAGUCAAGGUGGUGAUCCUGUGGAUGAAUAACUGAAACCUGAUAUACUUGACAGCAGAAAAUAUAAAGCAAAUUGAAAAGGAGAGAGUGUGGAGAUAAAUAAGAAAAUGAAAGAACUGAUAAAGUCACUUGGAUUAAAAAA